UACGUAGGGUGCGAGCGUUGUCCGGAAUUACUGGGCGUAAAGAGCUCGUAGGUGGUUUGUCGCGUUGUUCGUGAAAACCGGGGGCUUAACCCUCGGCGUGCGGGCGAUACGGGCAGACUUGAGUACUGCAGGGGAGACUGGAAUUCCUGGUGUAGCGGUGGAAUGCGCAGAUAUCAGGAGGAACACCAGUGGCGAAGGCGGAGACCUGGGCCGAUACUGACGCUGAGGUGCGAAAGCGUGGGGAGCAAACAGG
RNAcentral lists this ribosomal RNA (253 nucleotides) under uncultured bacterium. RNAcentral describes it as "partial 16S ribosomal RNA". It matches the Rfam family "Bacterial small subunit ribosomal RNA", at positions 524 to 776 of the family's 1533-position model. The record is from RNAcentral.